AACCGGAUUAGAUACCCUGGUAGUCCACGCUGUAAACGAUGUCGAUUUGGAGGUUGUGCCCUUGAGGCGUGGCUUCCGGAGCUAACGCGUUAAAUCGACCGCCUGGGGAGUACGGCCGCAAGGUUAAAACUCAAAUGAAUUGACGGGGGCCCGCACAAGCGGUGGAGCAUGUGGUUUAAUUCGAUGCAACGCGAAGAACCUUACCUACUCUUGACAUCCAGAGAACUUUCCAGAGAUGGAUUGGUGCCUUCGGGAACUCUGAGACAGGUGCUGCAUGGCUGUCGUCAGCUCGUGUUGUGAAAUGUUGGGUUAAGUCCCGCAACGAGCGCAACCCUUAUCCUUUGUUGCCAGCGGUUCGGUCGGGAACUCAAAGGAGACUGCCAGUGAUAAACUGGAGGAAGGUGGGGAUGACGUCAAGUCAUCAUGGCCCUUACGAGUAGGGCUACACACGUGCUACAAUGGCGUAUACAAAGAGAAGCGACCUCGCGAGAGCAAGCGGACCUCAUAAAGUACGUCGUAGUCCGGAUUGGAGUCUGCAACUCGACUCCAUGAAGUCGGAAUCGCUAGUAAUCGUAGAUCAGAAUGCUACGGUGAAUACGUUCCCGGGCCUUGUACACACCGCCCGUCACACCAUGGGAGUGGGUUGCAAAAGAAGUAGGUAGCUUAACCUUCGGGAGGGCGCUUACCACUUUGUGAUUCAUGACUGGGGUGAAGUCGUAACAAGGUA
RNAcentral lists this ribosomal RNA (727 nucleotides) under uncultured Serratia sp. RNAcentral describes it as "bacterial SSU rRNA". It matches the Rfam family "Bacterial small subunit ribosomal RNA", at positions 771 to 1498 of the family's 1533-position model. Lineage: Bacteria; Pseudomonadati; Pseudomonadota; Gammaproteobacteria; Enterobacterales; Yersiniaceae. The record is from RNAcentral.